GAUGAACGCUGACAGAAUGCUUAACACAUGCAAGUCAACUUGAACUUCGGUUUGGGUGGCGGCCGGGUGAGUAACGCGUAAAGAACUUGCCUCACAGAUAGGGACAACAUUUGGAAACGAAUGCUAAUACCUGAUAUUAUGAUUAUAUGGCAUCGUAUAAUUAUGAAAGCUAUAUGCGCUGUGAGAGAGCUUUGCGUCCCAUUAGCUAGUUGGAGAGGUAACGGCUCACCAAGGCGAUGAUGGGUAGCCGGCCUGAGAGGGUGAUCGGCCACAAAGGGACUGAGACACGGCCCUUACUCCUACGGGAGGCAGCAGUGGGGAAUAUUGGACAAUGGACCAAGAGUCUGAUCCAGCAAUUCUGUGUGCACGAUGAAGUUUUUCGGAAUGUAAAGUGCUUUCAGUUGGGAAGAAAAAAAUGACGGUACCAACAGAAGAAGUGACGGCUAAAUACGUG
This 454-nucleotide ribosomal RNA is filed under the name uncultured bacterium. Its description in RNAcentral is "partial 16S ribosomal RNA". It matches the Rfam family "Bacterial small subunit ribosomal RNA", at positions 28 to 507 of the family's 1533-position model. The record is from RNAcentral.